Long non-coding RNA from Camelus dromedarius (Arabian camel), 1152 nucleotides. RefSeq lists it as uncharacterized. NCBI's taxonomy places the organism in Eukaryota, Metazoa, Chordata, Mammalia, Artiodactyla, Camelidae. The transcript is spliced from 3 exons. The record is from RefSeq and is a predicted model, not a curated record.
GGCUACUCCUCGCCUCGCGGCGCGGGUCCCCAGAGCCCGACCCGCGGCUCCCGGCGCUCCCAGCCGCUGGAGUUCGUUUGCAGAUCACUCCUCCCCAAACACAACUGCUGUGGCACUGUGCGAGGAAACAAAAUGUGGCAAGUGUGACGGAUGAACUCAGGGCACAGGCUUCAGAACCAGACAUACCUACCGUCGAACCCAGCCUCUUCCCUGUGGGGAACAUGGGGAAGAACUGAUGCAGUUACCACCUGUAUCCCCACAAAUGAUGUGUCCAGUGCAGCUGUGGGCUCCAGAGCCAGAGAAAGCCGGGGAGGGGAGGGGCUCUGCAUUUGGAAAACAGAGAUCAGAAUGCUUAUCUUUGAGGGUGCUUGCAAAGGUGGAGAUAAAGGUAUAUGAUGGGCACCUAGUAAGUGUUGUUAAGGGAACUUGAAGGUAUAAAGGGAUAAAGGACUAGGAAGACGUGCAAAGACUAGGGACCUGGAAACUAACUAUUAAGAGGAAUAGAUAAAAGGAGGGCCUGGAGGAGAAGGAUUCCAAUGAGAAGGUAGGCAGUGAUUCCCCAUCUAGCCUCACAUCACAAAAUCCUGGGGGUGCUUAUUAAAAAUAUGCAUUCAGGCCCUGGGCAUUGGGAGUGGCAGGCUCAGGGGUCUGUAUUUUCCUGCUUCUUAGGACCCGUUGGGUGCCUGGUAUUGACUGGUUUGUGAUGCAUCAUAUGCCAACACUCCACAAUAGCCCCAGAGGGGAACACGGGGUAGAACUGAUGUAAUGACAACAUAUGUCAAUGCAAAAUGAUCUGUCCAGUGCAGCUGUGGGCUCCCUAAGCAAGAGAGAGCCGGCGGGAGAGGAGAUGGCAGGGAUGGAGGAAGGGAAGCUGAGUUGGGAGCUGACGGAGCUCAGGGAAUGAGAACCUGGUAAACCCAGUCAUCUCACUGGGAUUCUAGAUCAUUUGAGAACUUGCAACAUCAUGGUUUGAAACCAGCUGUCUUAUGUCUCCAUCAGCUUCCAUCACAGGUGAAAAAAAUGGCUGCUCACAUCAAGGGGCAGGGGGAGCUAGACAGGGGACCAGCUCCAAGCAGGUGGCAGUUGCUCCAGCAGUCUGAGGAGCCCCUUGGCUUCCCCUCUGAGCAGAUGCUUCUUCUGCCCGGAAGGGGC